CAGUCGCCGCGGUAAUACGUAUGUCGCGAGCGUUAUCCGGAAUUAUUGGGCAUAAAGGGCAUCUAGGCGGCCGGAUAAGUCUGUGGUGAAAACUUGCGGCUCAACCGCAAGCCUGCCCUGGAAACUAUGCGGCUAGAGUACUGGAGAGGUGGACGGAACUGCACGAGUAGAGGUGAAAUUCGUAGAUAUGUGCAGGAAUGCCGAUGAUGAAGAUAGUUCUCUGGCCUGUAACUGACGCUGAGGCUCGAAAGCGUGGGGAGCAAACAGGAUUAGAUACCCGUGUAGUCCCUGUCUCUUAUAA
RNAcentral lists this ribosomal RNA (301 nucleotides) under uncultured bacterium. Its description in RNAcentral is "partial 16S ribosomal RNA". It matches the Rfam family "Bacterial small subunit ribosomal RNA", at positions 509 to 809 of the family's 1533-position model. The record is from RNAcentral.